GAUAGAAGCAUGAGCUGAAUAUGAGGAAUGUCCAAAGGACAAGAAUGUGAGUGUUGAAACCAGAAUAAUGAAACAACAUGAUUGCAACAUCUGUCAAAGGAACUACACUGGCAGAAGGACUCCUGGGUGCUGACCCAAUGUCUGCUCCUUUUCUUGGACCGUGGAAAACAACAGGUUCUGGGGACAAUGACAAAGGAAGUGGGAAGAGUCCAACAGCAGAAGAGAAACAGAAAUCAUGCGUGUGAGAAAGCUGUGGCUGAAGACCAGGCUGCUGUGAAAGACAGUAGCAUAUGAAGACAAAAUGUGUGAUAAAAUCACUGACUUAAGAGAAGCCAGGGACCAGGAGGGGCCUGUGGUCAAAUAGAUGUUACCAAAACGUACCAAAGUGAGCUAUGGCAAAGACUCAUGUGGCAUUGCACAACCUUCCAAAGAAGAACUGACCAAAGUUUCAGCCUGGCAGAGCACAAAUUGCACAAAUUUCUCCUGUAAGAAUCCCUGCACAGACAUCAGAGCAGCCAGCAAGCAGAAAGGAAAGGAAACCAGUUGUACACUUGUGGGUUUUCUUCAGAAACUUCUUUAGAAACCAUGACCUGCUGAGGAACAUGGUGCAGUGUCAUGUGCCAAGAAAAACAGCACAAAGGUCUGAGGCUACUCCUAAUUAUCUGCUUUAACAACUGCUCCAUUGUCAGCAUCCGGAUGAAAUGCAUUCUCUCUCCUCCAGUAAAUGGCAUUGUUACUGACUUCAUGGUGAGGAAACUCACAGAUAUACCCUGAGUCAUUAGGUG
This is a long non-coding RNA of Melospiza melodia melodia, 785 nucleotides long. RefSeq lists it as uncharacterized. Lineage: Eukaryota; Metazoa; Chordata; Aves; Passeriformes; Passerellidae. The transcript has 3 exons. The record is from RefSeq and is a predicted model, not a curated record.